This 449-nucleotide ribosomal RNA is filed under the name uncultured bacterium. RNAcentral describes it as "partial 16S ribosomal RNA". It matches the Rfam family "Bacterial small subunit ribosomal RNA", at positions 29 to 523 of the family's 1533-position model. The record is from RNAcentral.
AACGAACGCUGGCGGCAUGCCUAACACAUGCAAGUCGAACGAGAUCUUCGGGUCUAGUGGCGCACGGGUGCGUAACGCGUGGGAAUCUGCCCUUUGGUUCGGAAUAACAGUUGGAAACGACUGCUAAUGCCGGAUGAUGACGAAAGUCCAAAGAUUUAUCGCCAGAGGAUGAGCCCGCGUAGGAUUAGCUAGUUGGUGUGGUAAAGGCGCACCAAGGCGACGAUCCUUAGCUGGUCUGAGAGGAUGAUCAGCCACACUGGGACUGAGACACGGCCCAGACUCCUACGGGAGGCAGCAGUGGGGAAUAUUGGACAAUGGGCGAAAGCCUGAUCCAACAAUGCCGCGUGAGUGAUGAAGGCCUUAGGGUUGUAAAGCUCUUUUACCCGGGAUGAUAAUGACAGUACCGGGAGAAUAAGCUCCGGCUAACUCCGUGCCAGCAGCCGCGGUAA